AGCAUGAGGCAAAACAAAACCUCUUGAAGCUUCCAGCUGGCUGAGCUGCGUAUCUGUACAGCAAUGUUACAUGUGUUUUAAAACAUGAUUAACAAGGCAGUUGCCAAGCUUUUCUUAUGGUUUGUUUAAUGAGCUUCUGAAUGGUGGAAAUAAUCAGAAAAGUUCUCAAUUCAUGCCUAUCCUUAAGGACAAACACCAACAUUUUUUCCUUUUUUUUUUUCUCAGACCGCUGAGCCCAGUGAUCCAGUCUUAUGCUUGGAGGGACUGUGACAGGUGUAUAUGCCCAGAAGGAAACACAGGAGGAGAAAGUCUACAGACUGGAACAGCAAGGACAGUGGGCAAAUUGUGGAAAUGCUUCACUCCUAGAAGGUUGCUGAGAAGAAAGUUGCUGGAAGUGCCAGAAAUGUGUACGUGCUCCAUGGGUGUGCUCAGGUGAUGCAGACCAGCAAGUCAUGGCUCUCUUGUACAACCCCAUUACUCAGGUUACUCCUGAAGAUCUGGAUUCAGCUGCCCUGCCCUGAUUUCAGUUUUCAGUUCUGACAUGGGAUGGCUCCUUUUACAGCUCCCUGUGAACAGUCAGGGAAAGAGGUCUGCCACAAAGCCAAGGAAGUUGAAAAGAUGGCUGCUGCAGCAUGCCCACGGUACUGUUCUAGUUCUUGCGUUUUAGUGGCAGAAAAGGGAUUUGUCAUCUGCUGAUAACCAAAUAAGUGCAGUUACCUGAUGAU
Zonotrichia albicollis (white-throated sparrow) is the source of this 725-nucleotide non-coding RNA. The record is from RefSeq and is a predicted model, not a curated record. NCBI's taxonomy places the organism in Eukaryota, Metazoa, Chordata, Aves, Passeriformes, Passerellidae.